UACUUAGUGGCGGACGGGUGAGUAACGCGUGAGUAACCUGCCUUGGAGUGGGGAAUAACACAGUGAAAAUUGUGCUAAUACCGCAUGAUAUAUCGGUACCGCAUGGUAGUGAUAUCAAAGAUUUAUCGCUCUGAGAUGGACUCGCGUCUGAUUAGCUGGUUGGCGGGGUAACGGCCCACCAAGGCGACGAUCAGUAGCCGGACUGAGAGGUUGACCGGCCACAUUGGGACUGAGACACGGCCCAGACUCC
This 250-nucleotide ribosomal RNA is filed under the name uncultured Eubacteriales bacterium. Its description in RNAcentral is "uncultured Clostridiales bacterium partial 16S ribosomal RNA". It matches the Rfam family "Bacterial small subunit ribosomal RNA", at positions 89 to 339 of the family's 1533-position model. The record is from RNAcentral. Lineage: Bacteria; Bacillati; Bacillota; Clostridia; Eubacteriales.